ACUCAAAGGAAUAGACGGGGGCCCGCACAAGCGGUGGAGCAUGUUGUUUAAUUCGAUGCAACGCGAAGAACCUUACCGCCCCUUGACAUCCUCGGAACUUGGCAGAGAUGCCUUGGUGCCUUCGGGAGCCGAGAGACAGGUGCUGCAUGGCUGUCGUCAGCUCGUGUCGUGAGAUGUUGGGUUAAGUCCCGUAACGAGCGCAACCCCUAUCCUUAUUUGCCAGCGGGUCAAGCCGGGAACUCUAAGGAGACUGCCGGUGACAAACCGGAGGAAGGUGGGGAUGAGGUCAAGUCAUCAUGGCCCUCACGGGGCGGGCUACAAACGUGCUACAAUGGCGCGUACAAAGGGCUGCUAUCCCGCGAGGGGGAGCAAAUCCCAAAAAACGCGUCGUAGUCCGGAUUGGGGUCUGCAACUCGACCCCAUGAAGUCGGAAUCGCUAGUAAUCGCGGAUCAGAAUGCCGCGGUGAAUACGUUCCCGGGCCUUGCACACACCGCCCGU
This 499-nucleotide ribosomal RNA is filed under the name uncultured bacterium. Its description in RNAcentral is "partial 16S ribosomal RNA". It matches the Rfam family "Bacterial small subunit ribosomal RNA", at positions 899 to 1397 of the family's 1533-position model. The record is from RNAcentral.